UGAACGCUGGCGGCGUGCCUAACACAUGCAAGUCGAACGAGCGAGAGAUGAAACCUAGUGAUUCUCGAGCGAGUGGCGGACGGGUGAGUAACGCGUGGGUAACCUGCCUUACAGAGGGGGAGUAACAGUUUGAAAAGACUGCUAAUACCGCAUAAGCACACAGUACCGCAUGGUACAGGGUGAAAAGAUUUAUCACUGUAAGAUGGACCCGCGUCUGAUUAGCCAGUUGGCAGGGUAACGGCCUACCAAAGCGACGAUCAGUAGCCGACCUGAGAGGGUGAUCGGCCACAUUGGGACUGAGACACGGCCCAAACUCCUACGGGAGGCAGCAGUGGGGGAUAUUGCACAAUGGAGGAAACUCUGAUGCAGCCGACGCCGCGUGAGUGAAGAAGUAUUUCGGUAUGUAAAGCUCUAUCAGCAGGGAAGAUAAUGACAGUACCUGACCAAGAAGCCCCGGCUAACUACGUGCCAGCAGCGGC
RNAcentral lists this ribosomal RNA (479 nucleotides) under uncultured bacterium. RNAcentral's name for it is "bacterial SSU rRNA". It matches the Rfam family "Bacterial small subunit ribosomal RNA", at positions 30 to 518 of the family's 1533-position model. The record is from RNAcentral.